Molecule: long non-coding RNA, 9338 nt
Organism: Capsicum annuum
Lineage: Eukaryota; Viridiplantae; Streptophyta; Magnoliopsida; Solanales; Solanaceae
Exons: 2
Source: RefSeq, a predicted model, not a curated record
UCACAAAAAAAAUCUUUUGACUUUUCUUUACACUCUUGUGUCGAUUUAAUAUUAGGAGAAUGUAAACUUUAUUCAAGUAUUAUACAAUCUCAGCAUAUAUAUUAGAAUGUUUCAUUCCAUCAACGUGGAUUGUGGUAUAAUAGUGGGACUGCACCACUCUUAAUCAAAGGUCUCAGGUUCAAGUUUUAGGUAUGAAAAAAAUUUUGUUGGGAGCACUACCCCAGAAUGGGCCCUGCAGCGUGCAAUUCAGAUUAAUCAAGAAUUAAAUAUGAGCAUCAAACACCAAGUGGAAAACCAAAAAAAGAAAAAAAAUGCUUCAAUCCUAGACUAUAGUUAUGAACGACUUGGGUCAAAACUAUGGUCGAGGGAAAAUUUAGAAAAUGAGAAAAUCAUGUGUGGGACUCGGUGGUGUGUGAUAAAUAGCAUGUAUGAAGAAGAGAAGUGGCAAGGAAAGUUAUUGUGGGAAAUCUGUAGUCAUCUCAUCGAUCCCCACUUCUAAGUUUCUCAUCUCCCUUUGUUCCUAUCCUUCGUAUUUCAAUUUAAUCUUUUUAUUUCAUAGUUGACAUGCCUCGUAGUUUAUCUAUAUUGAGUUGAGUUUUAAUUUUCUUUUUAUUGUUUAAGUAAUACAAAGAGGGAUUUGUAAUCGAGUUGCUACGUCUUUGCCUGCCUUCAAGCUAAAUUUUAUAUCCACACUAACAAGGAUUGGAGGUGGAGCGGUGAGUACUUUUUUAGUAUUUUAAUCAAUGAUUUUGGGUCAAUUGUUUGAGCACUAAGUACAGGGCCAGCUCAAUCAACAUGGGACCUAACGCGAAAUCUCAUAGAGUGGCCUUAAGCUUUUUCGUGAAAGAAAAAAUUAUAUACAAUGUGUAUAUCAGUCGAAAAUGCAAAGUUAUUAUUCUGGCCCUUUCAAUUUAUGUGGUACUAACUAACUAGGCACCUUUUUAUUAUUUUUAUUUUAUUUUUUGAAUCUUAUGAUUAAAACAAGUCUUAAAUAUUUGUGUGAUUAUAACAUAUCUCAUUAAAAAAAAAAAAACUUUACGUUAAAUUUUCCAUAUAUAGAAGGUAUCAUUUUUAUUUUAAAACAAACUAAAAAGAAAGUGCGCUAGAUAAACUGAAAUAGAAAGUAUGAAAAUUAUACCUUAUUCUUUAAAAGACUAAUUUUAGUUUUUUUUUAAAAAAAAAAAAAUUACUUAUAGACUUUAAUAGGUAUAUAAAUAUUUAGGCCUCCAAGAACAUGAGGCCUAAGGCGCCUGCUUUAGCAUCUUCAGCCUUUGGCUGGCACUAACUAGGUAUAGAGUUACCUUUUAUAAAGAGUGAUCUAUCUUUUCAACAAGAACGUAUUACGUAGCUUUUGCUUAUAUGUUGUCGUUAUAUUAAAAAAUUCAUCGAACAUACAUAAAUAUAUAAACUGUGAAUUACUAUCUACUAGUAAAUAAAACGAGCUACAACUUUGAAGAGAAUUUCAUAACUCAUAAGUUUCAAAUCUUCUUUAACCGAACCUUAUGAGCAGAAGAGAAGUGUUUGGCUGCACUAACCAUUGUUUCUUCUGCUACCAAAUGACAUGUUGUUACAAUAUUUGAAUUUUUCACCUUUUUGGUAUCAUCCUCAAUAAUAUAGAAGCAUAAAACUUGUUAACUUUCUCCUUAUCCUUCAUUUUCUUCUAGUAAUAACUAGAAUAAUUAUAUAUAUUUAAGCUAUCAUCCUUGAUGUACGUUGUUGCACUUCAAGGCCUUUUUUAUGUGGAAAUGGAAUGUCACAUGGAAAGAUGUUCGAUAAUUUUUAUUGAUCAAUUGUUAUAGCCCUCUGUAGAAGUACUUAAACACUUGUUGGCCUCUAUUUUAUCGAAUGAACAUAUUUUUGCACUUUCGCUUUACUAAUGAGACCGGGAUAACCCUACGUUGUGGGAAAACUGAUUUCGUAUCCAUCCUCUCCUCAAUAACAUAUAUAGAAACUGUUAUUGAUGUUACGGUAGUAGUAACUAGAAUGCUGAUGUAAUAGUUAGACUAGAGGGUAAUAUAGUCAUUACACUAGUCACAUGGGCGGUUACCAAUUCUGCUAUAUAUAUAAAUAGCCCCAAUGUAACUGAAAAAGUAGAUUCAAUGAAAAUCAAUUUUCUCUCCAUUACUCAUAGUUGACUGCUUCAACUGACAACUACAAAGCAUCUACAACUCAUUUUCUCAUGGUACUUGCGUACAUCAGUCUCUAGAUCAAUCCUGGUUGAGAUCACUAUUGAUGAAGCUUGGUAGAAAGGUCGACCAUGGUAGAAAGUGGAGCUACUCAGAUUGGACAAUCACAGACCACACAAAUAGAUUACAAUCAUCCAUUAUUUCUACAACCUAGUGAUACUCCAGGCUCUGUGCUUAUUGGAUUGAAAUUAACGGGACCAGAAAACUUCACAUUGUGGAGUCGAUCUCUCACAAUUGCGUUGUUAGGAAAGAACAAAUUAGGGUUCAUCGACGAAAGUUGCUUACGAAGUUAGUACAAACCAAACGACAGUGGGAUCGAUGCAAUGCUCUAGUUUUAUCGUAGAUAAGUUGUACAGUUGCACCUGAGCUGGUCUCGAGUAUCGUAUUGGCUUCUACUGCAAAAAAGGUAUGGGAAGACUUCAAAGAGAGAUUUGACAAGUCGAAUUUCACUAGAGUUUAUCAAUUAUGGAGAGAAAUUGCAACUCAUACUCAAGGUACAGAUUCCGUAACAACGUAUUUCUCAAAAAUGAAAGACUAUUGGGAUGAAUUGGAUUUGUUAGUACCUACUCCACCUACUUGUGAUUGUGAUGAAUCAGCACCUUAUAUUGCACAUUUGAACAAUCAACGUUUGUUGCAAUUUCUCAUGGGGUUAAAUGAAAGCUAUAGUCAUGUGCGAAGUGAUAUUUUGUUGAGAAAUCUAAUUUUGUCUUUAAACCAAGCAUAUGUUGUGGUUGUGCAAGAGGAGAGCCAGAGAAUACUGGGUGUAGUUGACAUCAACAGAGAAUCUUUGAGUCUAUUUGCAGGAAAGAAACAAGUCUAGAAUUACAAGCCAAAGAAAUUUGGUAACAAUGCACAUAAUGAAUCAGGAGAUACUUAUUGUAGCUGUGGUUAUAAGGGGCAUUUGACAGAGGAUUGCUACAGAAAUGUGGGUUAUCCAGCUGACUUCAAGAGUAAGAAGAAAAUGCAUGGAGCAGAAUGGAGAAGAUAUGCUCAUCAUGUUGUUGCUGAUGAGCCAGUUCCCGGUGCCGGCCAAUACUUGUCAAACAGUCAGUAUGAACACUAUAAGAAGCUCCAAGAAAGGGAGAAGCAGGACUUGUCUAGACCAGAUGAAGCCACAAUCAGUUACUCCUCUAAUAUGGUAGGUAUAUUUGCUUUACUGUCUAAAACAGAUGGUUGUGACUGGAUAGUGAAUUCUAGAGCCUCACAUCAUAUUACCUCUCUUAGAAAAGUUCUAAAUAACCUCAAGCUCGUUGAUAAAAGCAUAAGUAAUGCAGUACAAGUACCAACUGGUAGUAAGUACAAUAUAUCUCACAUAGGAGACACAGUAAUAUUGAAGAACCACACUCUUAAGAAUGUCUUGUUUGUUCCAGAUUUUAAGUUUAAUCUGUCAUUUGUCUCCAAACUGACAAAAAAGUUGUGUUGUUCAGUCAACUUCUAUGCAAAAUUUUGUGUGUUUCAGGCACUUUACAGUGGCAAGGUAUUGGGGAUCGGUAAAGAGAGUGAUGGCUUGUAUUGGUUAAAGUAAGAUGAUUCUAUUAUAGCUUGUGCAGUUUUACAGACUAAUAUUGAUUCUGAAGUUUGGAAUUUGAGACUAGGACAUCCCUCAAUAGAGGUUUUCAAGCAUAUUCCCUUCAUGAUGAACAAAAUAAAUAAAGAGACACAACAAAGCUGCGUGAUCUGUCCGCAGGCAAAACAAGCCAGGUUCAAAUUUCCUAUGAGUGAAAGCAAGACCAGUGCAAUGUUUCAACUCAUUCAUGUGGAUGUUUGGGGUCCCUUCAAGGUCCCUACCUAUUAUCGAAAGUUUUAUUUUGUUACUAUAGUAGAUAAUUUUAGCAGGUAUACUUGGGUGUGCCUGAUGUAAUCUAAAUCCGAGGUCAUUGUUGUACUUAAAGAUUUCUUACUUAGAGUCAAGACUCAAUAUAAUGCUGUUGUAAAAAUUGUGAGAUCAGAUAAUGAAAGGGAAUUCUUCAAUACUGGUUGUCCAGACUUGUUUUCUUCUUAUGACAUUAUUCAUCAAAGCAGUUGCCUAUAUACUCCAAAACAGAAUGGUGUUGUGUAAAGAAAACAUAGACAUAUUUUAGAGUAGCAAGAGCUUUAAAAUUACAAAAUUGCAUUCCAAAUAGAUUUUGGGGUGAUUGUGUGAAUACUGCAAUUUAUUUGAUCAACAAGCUGUCUACUUUUGUCUUUAAUGGUAGAUCUCCUUAUGAAAUACUACAUAAAAAGCCUCAUUUAUUUGAUCACUUGAGGGUGUUUGGUUGUUUAUGUUUUGGAACCGCUUUGCCUAAGAGGGAUAAGUUUUAGCCUAGAGCUAAGAAAGUUGUUUUUAUAGGCUAUGCAGAUACUCAAAAGGGCUAUAAGUUGUUUGAUUUGGAUACACAAACUACAUUUGUAAGUAGAGAUGUUAGUUGUAGGGAAUGUUAUUUCCCUUUUAUAGGUGUCAGAGGUGAAUUGGAUAACAUUUUUUGCUCAGACCAAUUUGAUCUUUCUUUCAUUUCACACGACUGCAUACCUUCACCAGAAGGAAUGGCUCCAGUUAUUAAGCUACAAAUUCCCUCUCCUGAUUCAAAUGUGGAAUCUGGUCGUUCAUCUAGACUUGACUCAGUUAUUGAAGUGGCAGUUGAUCCUGCUUAUUCUGUUGUUCAAACUGAGGAUGUUGUGGCAGACAUACAUCAGCCAACUAAUUUUGUUGUGCAUGGAGAGCUUAGAAGAACUCUUAGGUCCACUAAACCACCUAUAUGGAUGCAAGACUAUAUUGGGAAGAAGCCUGGCAAAACACUCACAGGUCACUUUCUUUACCCUAUUUCAAAUUUUGUUUCUUAUGUUGCUCUGUCUCCUACUUACAAAUCAUACUUGUCAGCUUUCUCUGCGUGUACUGAGCCUCAUUCUUUCAGAGAAGCUUCACAAGAUCCAAGAUUGGUGGAUGUUAUGCAAUAAGAGAUAGCUUCCUUGGAAGCAAAUCAGACAUGGGAAAUAGUCAUACUUUCUACAGGGAAGAAAUCUAUUGGCUCUAAAUGGGUCUAUAAGAUUAUACACAAGGCUAAUGGUGAGGUGGAAAGAUUUAAAGCUAGGCUUGUAGCUAAGGGGUACAAUCAGAAAGAGGGCUUGGACUAUCAUGACACAUUUUCCCCUGUUAUCAAGGUGGUCACAGUGAGACUUAUCAUCAGUGUUGCAGCUUCAAAAAACUGGCCUUUGCUCCAUAUGGAUGUCAAUAAUGCCUUCCUGCAUAGUGAUUUAGAUGAGAAGGUUUACAUAAGUUUGCCUCAGGGAUUUCACCAACAGAGGGAGGAGAAGGUAUGUAGGUUGGUUAAAUCUUUGUACGGUCUCAAGCAAGCUUCCAGGCAAUAAAACAUCAAGUUGACUACAGCCUUGACUAAAGCUGGUUACAUACAAAGUGCCUAUGACCAUUCUUUGUUUACUAAGAGACAGGGUUCAGAGAUUGUGCUUAUUCUUAUAUAUGUAGAUGACUUGGUAAUCACUGGCAGUGAUUCAAAAUUAAUUGAUGAAGUCAAGUCUGUCCUACAUGACAACUUCAAGGUGAAGGACUUGGGAAACUUGAGGUAUUUUCUGGGGAUAGAAGUAACGCGGUCACACAAGGGGAUCCUGCUCAAUCAGGGGAAAUACUGCCUUAAACUAAUUUUAGAGGUUGGUCUUAGUGGUGCAAAAUCAGCUCAUACACAUCUUGAAUCUAAUGGUAAGCUUACCACUGUGGAGUAUGAUAACCAUGUUGGACAUGUCAGUGAUGCAGAACUGGAUGACAUCACUGGAUAUCAAAGAUCGAUUGGGAAAUUGAUCUACCUCAUUAUUACAAGGCCGGAUACAUGUUUUGUUGUGCAAGUAUUGAGUCAAUUCAUGUAAAGACCUAAACAUUCACAUCUAGAUGCAGCAUUGAGGAUUGUCAGGUACCUCAAAGGAAGUCCAGGACUUGGUAUUUUCUAUCCACAAAGAGAGGCAAACACACUCACUUUCUUCUGUGAUUCAGAUUGGGCAUCAUGCCCAAAUACAAGAAGGUCAGUGACAGGCUAUGUGAUAAAGCUGGGAGAUUCACUAAUUUCUUGGAAAUCCAAGAAACAACAAACUGUCAGUAAAAGUUCUACAGAAGCAGAAUAUAGAAGUAUGGCUGCAACUGUUGCUGAAGCAACUUGGGUAAAUGGUUUCCUACAUGAGCUGAAUGUGGAGAUAUCAUCUCCAGUUACAUUGUUUUUUUAUAAUAAAGCAGCAAUCCAAAUAGCUUCUAAUCCUAUUUUUCACGAAAGGACCAAGCAUAUUGAGAUAGAUUGUCACUUUGUUAGGGAAAAAAUUAAGCUUAGACUUAUUAAGUCCUCAAUUCAUUCCUACAUCAUCUCAACUAGCAGAUGUCCUCACCAAGGGCCUCAGUGUUGCUCAAGAUCAGUCAUAUUGGUUUCCAAGCUUGAAGUUCUUGAUCCUUUUCAUACUCCAGCUUGAGGGGGAGUAUUGAUAUUACGGUAGUAGUAAUUAGAAUGCUGAUGUAAUAGUUAGACUAGAGGGUAAUAUAGUCAUUAAACUAGUCACAUGGGCGGUUACCAAUUCUGCUAUAUAUAUAAAUAGCCCCAAUGUAACUAAAAAGUAGAUUCAAUGAAAAUCAAUUUUCUCUCCAUUACUCUUAGUUGACUGCUUCAAUUGACAACUACAGAGCAUCUACAGCUCAUUUUCUCAACUGCCAUUUGAUAAAAUCUAACUAUGACAAUUCGAACGGAGAAGAUUGUCUUGCUUAAAGUAGAAGGGAGGGUGAGACGGCAGGACGUUUUAGCAGCAACGAGCUUUAUGGGUUCCCCAGCUUCUUUGGUGUUCCCCGAUUGUUUUUUUUUAAUAACUGCUGUCAGAUUUUUUGAGAAUAUUAUUUUAUUAAUAUUUAUAUAGCAAGGUUAUGUUUGAAACAAAUUAUAAAUUACGUAUAGCAAUGACCUUAUUCUUUUACAUAAACUUCCUAAAUUUUAAAUUUAUAAUGUUCGUUAAAACUAACUAAUUUGGGGGAAACGAUCCUCUCCAAUAUAAUGUUUUCUAAGAAAAUUUGAUUUAAUUCUAGUUCUCCUUCGUGAACAGAAAAAUUAAUUUCUAGAAUUUGGAUUUGUAAUUUCUUGCCUUUUUAAUUACUUCUAACACAUUCAUAGAACAUAAAAUAAUAGCAAAUAAAAUUGGAAUGCCAAUACAUAUAAAUGAUGUUUUAAAAUAAAUAUAUUUUAACAAACUAUUAAGAUAAAUAGAUAAAAUAUUAAAUGAAAUAUUCCAAGCCUUCAAUGCUUCUCCAUUUCCAUUGAGAAGUAAGAGACAUCCUUUCCCUAUUUGUGGGUUAGUUGAUUGUUUGUUGCUAUUGUAUGAGACAAUUAAGUUGUUUCCUAGCGCUUAGGCUAUAGGAUUAGUGGAAACAGUUUAGAUGAGAAUAAUUAGGUUUAACAGAAUUGUUCUGUUAUUAGUAGCUUUUAUCUAUUUAAGGACUCUUUAAUUAAGAAAUGAUGAGUACUUCUACUUGACGUCCCUUUAUUGUUGUUGAUGAUUUCUAUCAAUGUCACCGCAGGGAAGAUGAAGUCCUCUCUACAUAGAUAAGGUAUUUUUCAACGAACCAUUUCAAGAAGCAUAUUACCCCGGUCACCAGUAGUACAUUCUUUAAUUCCACUGAAUGAUUUCUUCACAGGGUUGAAUGACUUGAUCCAAAAUCUACAACCUUUUCAAUGCAGAAUGACAAAAUCAUAUUGGCACUUAUUCUCGUGGAAAUCAUUUCAAUACGUUUAAUCACUUCUCGGGAAAUGGAAAUCAUUCCAAUGUACUGAAUCCAAACAUGUUCCCUAUGAACUUCAAUGAACCGCAUUUAAGAAGCAUACUUAUCUCAACAACCUACAGUACAUUUUUUAGUUGUUUGUUUCUAUUUCUCGAGUUGAGUGUUGCUUAGAUACAAUCACCUCUGUAGCUCGAUUGCCAAUCUUCUCAAAUCUAAAACCUUCAGAUCUAGUUCAAAUAGAAAGCAAAUUGCACUAUAUAUGUAUCAUACCACUAGAAAAAUUAAGGAAAAAUAACCAACUCCAAUAGUCUUGUUUUUUACCAGAUUGCGCAUCAAUCCCUGUCGAAAUGAUCUUAUUGUCACUAGUAUCUAUGGAAUCAUUCACAUUAAUAAAGCCAGUGUUCAUAGACACAUCAUCAGUUUCAUCUACUGCACUUUCAUCAGCUACAAUAUUACGGAUGCAGCUGUCACACAGUCACCUCUUAUGUCUUAUUGGAACGUCUAGAGGAGGAAGUUGCUCCUCGGGGUUACUACUAUUUGAUCCAAAAGAUGAACAAAUAUUCAUGUCCUUCUUUCUCAUCCCAGCAACAUAUCAACUAUAUCACAAAGAAAAUGACCAACAUAUAUAUUGGAUUAUUUUCUUGUCCAAUCUAAUGGAAGAUAUAAUUUUUCAAACGAUCAUUCAACUACUAGUUAUUAUUUGAAAUUAGCCAGAUAGGAUCUCUGUGCCCAUAAAUGUCGGGGACUGACAACAUUUGAAGAAAUUGCAUCACAUUUGCGAUGUAAACUUACCUCCUUCACCAGGUUGUUGUAUGGCUAUAACGAAUUUGGCAUGAAGAUCCAUUGUCCAUCCAUUAUGUGAGAAUACUAAGAAAACUACACCUAUUUUCCGUGUGAUGACAAAAUCCUGGGUUUCAAGGAAGCAUCUUAAUGUCUAUCAUAGUGUCUAAUUACAUCAAUCAAGAUAUCCAUAUAAGUUUCCUGGUUCUCGAGGUAUUGACUGGGAAAACAAGAUAUAAUUGAAGAAGCACUCAGUCUACCAUCACGCGUCAAUAAAAAUAGAAAUCCGCUAAACAUGGUUGGCUCCUCAAGAGUUACGAGUCUGUGACAACAAAAUCCAUGGCAACCGUGACUCGAGGGGGUUUUAGCAAGCCUGGAGGUCAAGUUUGAAAUUCGUUUCCUGAAAGAGCCCACUGCAACGAUUUUUAGAAACAGCAGGAUAUACAAACCCUCAAAAUCUCAAAAACGCUAAAAUCACUGAACAGAGCAAAAUCUCAAAAACGCUAAAAUGACUGAACAGAGCAAAUAAGCAGUGCAAGCUUCUAAAGCCUAUAAUUUAGGUUCUGGUACGCUUAAGAGUCCUCGUGCUGCAAAUGAGAGUCGAUUGAUGAAUCCACUUAAGGUUUGCUGGUUGUUUU